This 214-nucleotide long non-coding RNA is filed under the name Lathyrus oleraceus (garden pea). RNAcentral describes it as "Pisum sativum (pea) long non-coding RNA (PSAT_LNC003850)". The record is from RNAcentral. Lineage: Eukaryota; Viridiplantae; Streptophyta; Magnoliopsida; Fabales; Fabaceae.
UUCUAACGUGUACAAACUUGCGCUUAAGCCUCCGCCGCGAGUAAGCAAGCCAUGUUUUACCGUUAGAAUUCGAUCUAAGUACUUGUUCAUUAAAAAAACACCAACCAACAAACUAUAGCCUUCACCCGAACUACAAAUGCUCUAAUUUCCUUAUUGAACUAUAAGGAUACGUAGGCACGAGAUUGCGAGAUCUUCGCGAGUACACUAAUUAAAA